GGAAGGUGCAAGCGUUGCUCGGAAUCACUGGGCGUAAAGGGUGCGUAGGCGGCUUCUUAAGUCCGGUGUGAAAGCCCAGGGCUCAGCCCUGGAAGCGCACUAGAAACUGGGGAGCUUGAGUACCGGAGGGGAGAGUGGAAUUCCUGGUGUAGCGGUGAAAUGCGUAGAUAUCAGGAGGAAUACCGGUGGCGAAAGCGACUCUCUGGACGGUUACUGACGCUGAGGCACGAAAGCGUGGGGAGCAAACAGGAUUAGAUACCCUGGUAGUCCACGCCGUAAACGAUGGGCACUAGGUGUCGGGGGUAUCCACUCCCUCGGUGCCGCCGCUAACGCAUUAAGUGUCCCGCCUGGGAAGUACGGUCGCAAGAUUAAA
RNAcentral lists this ribosomal RNA (373 nucleotides) under uncultured bacterium. RNAcentral describes it as "bacterial SSU rRNA". It matches the Rfam family "Bacterial small subunit ribosomal RNA", at positions 527 to 898 of the family's 1533-position model. The record is from RNAcentral.